RNAcentral lists this ribosomal RNA (223 nucleotides) under uncultured bacterium. RNAcentral's name for it is "partial 16S ribosomal RNA". It matches the Rfam family "Bacterial small subunit ribosomal RNA", at positions 109 to 334 of the family's 1533-position model. The record is from RNAcentral.
AGUAAUACAUCGGAACGUGUCCCGUAGUGGGGGAUAGCCCGGCGAAAGCCGGAUUAAUACCGCAUAUGCUCUACGAGGAAAGUGGGGGACCCGCAAGGGCCUCACGCUAUGGGAGCGGCCGAUGUCCGAUUAGCUUGUUGGCGGGGUAAUGGCCCACCAAGGCGACGAUCGGUAGCAGGUCUGAGAGGAUGAUCAGCCACACUGGGACUGAGACACGGCCCAG